RNAcentral lists this ribosomal RNA (468 nucleotides) under uncultured bacterium. Its description in RNAcentral is "partial 16S ribosomal RNA". It matches the Rfam family "Bacterial small subunit ribosomal RNA", at positions 28 to 507 of the family's 1533-position model. The record is from RNAcentral.
GACGAACGCUGGCGGCGUGCUUAACACAUGCAAGUCGAACGGGAAGGCCCUGCGUUUGUGGGGUGCUCGAGUGGCGAACGGGUGAGUAACACGUGAGUAACCUGCCCUUGACUUUGGGAUAACUUCAGGAAACUCGGGCUAAUACCGGGUAUGAGCUCCUGCUGCAUGGUGGGGGUUGGAAAGUUUCGGCGGUUGGGGAUGGACUGGCGGCUUAUCAGCUUGUUGGUGGGGUAGUGGCUGACCAAGGCUUUGACGGAUAGCCGGCCUGAGAGGGUGACCGGCCUCAUUGGGCCUGAGGUACGGCCCAGAAUGGUACGGGAGGCAGCAGGGGAGAAUCUUGCACAAUAGGGCGAAGCGUGAUACAACAACGCUGGGUGCGGGAUAAUGGCUUACGAGUUAAGAACCUCUUUCGCCUGUGCCGAAGCGAAAGUGACGGUAAUGGAUAAAAAAGCAACGGCUAACUACGUG